This is a long non-coding RNA of Acinonyx jubatus (cheetah), 1282 nucleotides long. RefSeq lists it as uncharacterized. The record is from RefSeq and is a predicted model, not a curated record. Lineage: Eukaryota; Metazoa; Chordata; Mammalia; Carnivora; Felidae. The transcript has 2 exons.
AACAAAUGAAAAAAACAAACCAAAGUAAAACACAAUCCAACUCACCACUCUGGUUAACAGCUGGUUUUAAAUAUGAGAGUUAAGCUUUCAAGGUCUUCAUUCUUUAAAUGUAAUUCUUUAAGCAGAGUCUCUAUAAACUGUGUGAACACCACGUUUUCCUGAGAAUGCUUCUGAAUGCCAAGAAUCGGGGUCAGUCUGAAAAAAACAAAAAUAUUAAAUGCAUAUCCACAAAAUAAGAAGGACUAAGGGGGCUCCUGCCUUCUACAUGGCAGAGGGAAUUUUGUUAAAUUGGAGAGACUUCAUCUAUCUGCUAUGACAAAACCCCCUGAGACAGAAGGCUUUACUAAUAAAAGCAGAGGAGAAAUCUCAGGAAAAGACUGAAAGAUCAAGCAUAUUGUUAAGUAUGGAAAUAAACCUAAAAGCCUGAAUCUAUAACAUGUUCUUCAUUACCCCAGAAAAAGCCACCAAGUUCUUCUCAGAAAUGAAAAUGAAGUAUUUCCACUUGGGGAAAGGAGGCUGUGCAAAGAAGCUUGGAGGUACACAAGAAAAACAAAAAGAAGGAAUCCAAGCCUAACACUAAAGAAAGCCAUCAAUCACAUGGGAAGAGAGCAAAGGAAGAAAUGGACAGUGAAGAACUAUUAAAAACCCCAGAAAACAAAUAACAAAAUAGCAAUAAGGCCAUACCUACCAAUGAUUACUUUAAUGUUUAUUUAUUUUUGACAGAGAGAGAGAGACAGGGCAUGAGCGGGGGAGGGGCAGAGACCAAUGAUUACUUUAAAUGUGUAUGUCCUAAAUGCUCCCAUCAAAAGACAUAGGGUGAUUGGAUAAAAAACCAAACCCAUCUAUUAUGCUGCUUAUAAGAGACUCACAUCUGAUCUAAAGACACAGAUUGAAAGUAAAGGGAUGGAAAAACAUAUAACCAUGCAAAUGAAAGUGGAAAAAAAAAAUGAGGGUAGCAAUACACUUUAAAACAAAGACUGUAACAAGAGACAAAGAAGGGCAUUACAUAGUGAUAAAGGGAUCGAUCCAACAAGUGGAUAUAACAACUAUAAAUUGUAAAUCCAGGAACACCUAAAUACAUAAAGCAAAUAUUAACAGACAUAAAGGGACAAAAUAACAGAAUACAAUAAUAGUAGAGGACUUUAAUUACUUACUAUUGAUGUAAGGAUUCCACUUACAUCAAUGGAUAGAUCAUCCGGACAGAAUGAGCUCCUCCCUGGCUCAUACUCUUUCUUUCUCUUUCUCUCCCUCAAGAUAAAUAAACUUAAAAAAAAAAAAAAAA